UGGCUCUUCAGAAGCUUGCUUCUAUCGAGCUGUUUUAGAAACAUCAGGGGCCAACAGAUCGCCAGAUCGUUGAGCUCCAUUGGCGGGAUUUCGCCGUCUACGUUUCUCUUUCUUCGCGGACGAACACGCGCUGGGCCUGCUGCGCAGGAUCCCAUGGUCCUUAACGGGAUAGGCGUUAGGGGCUUGUAGCUCAGUUGGUUAGAGCGCGCGCUUGAUAAGCGUGAGGUCGGAAGUUCAAGUCUUCCCAGGCCCACCACACUCAUCGAGUGAGCAUUCGUCUUCUGGUUACGGGGCCAUAGCUCAGCUGGGAGAGCGCGUGCUUUGCAAGCAUGAGGUCGUCGGUUCGAUCCCGUCUGGCUCCACCAGAUGGUUUGAUCACCGAGGUCAUGUACCGUCGUCCGCGAAACAUCACUUCGCAUCCUGCUAGUCUGGAUAGACAGCAAGUUGCGUGUUUUCUGACAUCGUAAAGAGGAGAUCGAUCCGAGUUGGGUCGUGUAGCAGAUUGCUGCGCGAAUCCUUCAUUAUCUCCGGAUCAUUUUCGGCGCUCGACGCUGACCGCAAGGUUGGCUCUCGAGUUGUGAAAUGAUCCUUUUAGCGAAGCUUGACCGCCUCGCUAUCGGAACGAUCUUACGAAGCAAGCUGGUCUUUCUAAUCAUUGUCCGGCUGUACGUAGCGUUCAUCGAGGGCGCGCGCCGAAAGGCAAUCGUACAGACAACAUUCUGCCGAGUGUGUGGACAUUGAUAAUGAGAGC
This 751-nucleotide transfer RNA is filed under the name Bradyrhizobium genosp. TUXTLAS-16. RNAcentral describes it as "partial 16S-23S ribosomal RNA intergenic spacer". The stretch from base 180 to 253 matches the Rfam family "tRNA". Lineage: Bacteria; Pseudomonadati; Pseudomonadota; Alphaproteobacteria; Hyphomicrobiales; Nitrobacteraceae. The record is from RNAcentral.